This 476-nucleotide ribosomal RNA is filed under the name uncultured bacterium. RNAcentral describes it as "bacterial SSU rRNA". It matches the Rfam family "Bacterial small subunit ribosomal RNA", at positions 21 to 518 of the family's 1533-position model. The record is from RNAcentral.
GGCUCAGGACGAACGCUGGCGGCAUGCUUCAUACAUGCAAGUCGAACGAUAAGGUCUCUUCGGAGAUACAUAAGUGGCGGACGGGUGAGUAAUAUGUAGGAAAUCUGCCCUAGAGAGGGGGACAACAGAGGAAACUUCUGCUAAUACCCCAUAUGAGCGUACCUGAAAUGGUAUUCUUGAAAACUCCGGUGCUCUAGGAUGAGCCUGCAUCUGAUUAGCUAGUUGGCGGUGUAAUGGACCACCAAGGCGACGAUCAGUAGCUGGUUUGAGAGGAUGAUCAGCCACAAUGGGACUGAGACACGGCCCAUACUCCUACGGGAGGCAGCAGUAGGGAAUUUUGCGCAAUGGGCGAAAGCCCUGACGCAGCAAUGCCGCGUGAACGUAGAAGCCCUUCGGGGUGUAAAGUUCUGUCAGUGGGGACGAAUUUUGACGGUACCCACAGAGGAAGCACCGGCUAACUCCGUGCCAGCCGCCGC